Molecule: long non-coding RNA, 1106 nt
Filed under: Carassius auratus (goldfish)
Lineage: Eukaryota; Metazoa; Chordata; Actinopteri; Cypriniformes; Cyprinidae
Description: lncRNA (ENSCARG00000059900.1)
Source: RNAcentral
AUGUUAUUUUUAGUUUUUUACGUUUCGUGACACAUUAUAUACAUUAUAGUAUGUUUCCAGAAUAGUAGCUUACUGCAGUCAUGACCUAAUGGUUAGAGAGUUGGAUUUAGAACCUAAAGGUUGUGGGUUUGAGUCUCUGUGCUGGCAGGAAUGGUCAUGGGGGGAGGGAGUGAAUAACCAGCACUCUCUUUCACCCCAAGACUGAGGUGAGACCCUUGAGCAACCAAAGCUGAAACGAUUCCCGGGAACCACAGCAGUAUGGCUGCCCACAGUGUGUUUGUGCAGAUCCAGAAUAUGGGUCUGUACAGACUAUUUCCCAGCACUAUUUUGAUCCCCCCACCUGUCAGACCACAGUUGCGCCCCUGCUAAAUGCUUGGUAUGGUGUGAUUCCAAAUUUAGCAGGGCCAGGUGGGGACAAGCUUGUUUACACAAGGAUAUCAGGGUCUGAACGCAGUCAUUUCCACACACAUCCAUCCACCAGGCCCAUUCAACUUAUUUUUAUCUUAAGCGAGUGCACCCAUUUGUAGCAACUGAAUGUGCGAACCAAGGCAUUUUUAGUCAGCUGAAAACACCAGGCGCUGUUCUGCAAAAGCCUAACGUUAGCUGUGAACGCCUGCAAACGAUAAGGAGGGGUUUUUCUGUCUGAUAACAGUGAGCAGUCUGUAUCUGUCUUGACCAUCUUGAUGUCUUAUGUUCUGGACUCCAGCAAAUAAAAAAAAAUAAAAAAAAUAAUAAAAUAAAAAACCGUCUGCUCUGCGACUCUAGUUCCCACCCACUGAAACCGAGCCCGGGCUGGAUCCGUGUUACACCACUGAAAUGGACUGUAACGUGGAUUUGCCGGUUUGAAAACAGAUCCUGCUCGGAGUCAUCUGUUAUCCUCAAAAACCUCACCAAGGUUCCACCUGAGAGCCAGGACGGUCAAAUAGUAAGACUUUCUCAAUCACACCGGAAGCACCUCAUUGGUCUUUUUUCUUGACAAAGGCGUCAACAUCAAUGCCAGCUGAGCAAUCCUGGUCCCGACUAAUUCUUCGUCUCACAUUGGAACCCAGCCUUGGACAGGGUUCGAAGACUGCUAUGACUAGAUGACAGAGCCAGGAAGUUCAGAG